RNAcentral lists this ribosomal RNA (253 nucleotides) under uncultured bacterium. RNAcentral describes it as "partial 16S ribosomal RNA". It matches the Rfam family "Bacterial small subunit ribosomal RNA", at positions 524 to 776 of the family's 1533-position model. The record is from RNAcentral.
UACGUAGGGGGCGAGCGUUGUCCGGAUUUAUUGGGCGUAAAGAGCGUGUAGGCGGUUAGGUAGGUCCGUUGUGAAAACUCGAGGCUCAACCUCGAGACGCCGAUGGAAACCAUCUAACUAGAGUCCGGAAGAGGAGAGUGGAAUUCCUGGUGUAGCGGUGAAAUGCGCAGAUAUCAGGAAGAACACCCGUGGCUAAGGCGGCUCCCUAGUACGGUACUGACGCUGAGACGCGAAAGCGUGGGGAGCGAACAGG